AACGAACGCUGGCGGCAGGCUUAACACAUGCAAGUCGAACGCGUGUAGCAAUACACGAGUGGCGCACGGGUGAGUAACACGUGGGAACAUGCCCUUCAGUUCAGGAUAACCACUGGAAACGGUGGCUAAUACUGGAUAUUCCCUCCGGGGGAAGAUUAUCGCUGAAGGAUUGGCCCGCGUUAGAUUAGGUAGUUGGUGGGGUAAUGGCCUACCAAGCCUACGAUCUAUAGCUGGCUGAGAGGACGACCAGCCACACUGGAACUGAGACACGGUCCAGACUCCUACGGGAGGCAGCAGUGGGGAAUAUUGGACAAUGGGCGAAAGCCUGAUCCAGCCAUGCCGCGUGAGUGAUGAAGGCCUUAGGGUUGUAAAGCUCUUUCGACGGGGACGAUAAUGACGGUACCCGUAGAAGAAGCCCCGGCUAACUUCGUGCCAGCCGCCGCCGU
RNAcentral lists this ribosomal RNA (446 nucleotides) under uncultured bacterium. Its description in RNAcentral is "bacterial SSU rRNA". It matches the Rfam family "Bacterial small subunit ribosomal RNA", at positions 29 to 521 of the family's 1533-position model. The record is from RNAcentral.